CAGCCGCCGCGGUAACACGUAGGGUGCAAGCGUUAAUCGGAAUUACUGGGCGUAAAGCGUGCGCAGGCGGUUUGUUAAGACAGAUGUGAAAUCCCCGGGCUCAACCUGGGAACUGCAUUUGUGACUGGCAAGCUAGAGUGUGGCAGAGGGGGGUGGAAUUCCGCGUGUAGCAGUGAAAUGCGUAGAUAUGCGGAGGAACACCGAUGGCGAAGGCAGCCCCCUGGGCCAACACUGACGCUCAUGCACGAAAGCGUGGGGAGCAAACAGGAUUAGAUACCCCGGUAGUCCCUGUCUCUUAUAC
RNAcentral lists this ribosomal RNA (301 nucleotides) under uncultured bacterium. Its description in RNAcentral is "partial 16S ribosomal RNA". It matches the Rfam family "Bacterial small subunit ribosomal RNA", at positions 509 to 807 of the family's 1533-position model. The record is from RNAcentral.